CAAAGCAUUUCAUGGACACUGAAUCAGCACCAGAAAGUUUCCAGGCAGAGGACCCUCAGUUUAAACCAAGACAGAAGCUCCUCAAAGUCGUGAAUGGGGCUCCUCUUGCUUCAGGGAGGUCUUUCGGGGGAUGAAGACAGUAGCCCGUGUUCCUUCUCCAGUUGUAGGAACAUUUCGGGAGCCCCAGGAAGAUCGUGUUUGCAGUCGAGCUCAUAAACCCUGACAUCUGUGUGAAGCUGCCAUUAUUUCGGAAGACUCACACCAGGAUCAGAAUAGCGAGAUUCUGUCUGGCUUGCAUUCCGGGGGCUCUGCCUCCCAGGGAAGGGCUUCCCUUGCCUGCUGUUUCCUCGGACCCGCGCAGGGGGAGGCCAGCUUGGCAGGAAGACAGCAAGCAGCAGAGGUCUCCCGGACUCUCAGCUGUCUGGCCGUGGGUGCCACUGCAGCCCCUUCCUCCCCGAGGACUGGACAGGACGUGGCUCAGAGACUCCUGGAGGUCACCUGGCCCUGGUUCUGCUCAGCAGAGGGACCCCCUGAACCCGCUUCCCCAGAGCAUGGGGUUCCUGUUGGGGGAUGGUGAGGGGACCCCGGGAGGAUGCGGAUGGACCAUUCCCAUCACUCCCUGGAGCAGCAGCUGGUGCUGGGGCGGGAGGGGCAGAGGCCUUGGGAACCACUGGGGCCGCCCUCAGGCCUCAGGUCUGCCCCCUAACCAACUGUGAAUUUCGGACACAUCCUCCCACAUGGGAAGUCACUGGGCU
Molecule: non-coding RNA, 755 nt
Organism: Odocoileus virginianus texanus
Lineage: Eukaryota; Metazoa; Chordata; Mammalia; Artiodactyla; Cervidae
Source: RefSeq, a predicted model, not a curated record